UGGAAAGAAAGGGUGGGCUUCCUUUUUGGGGAUCUACUGACACUUAUCCCAGAUGAAGGCUCUCGGCAAUUGGGAUAUCGGCAUUUUUUUAUGGCACUAGUACCCCCUCUCUCCAUCUCUUCCCUAUUCGCACAAGCAAGAGAAAAAGGCCGAAGCCCCUCCAUUUCUCCGCUCCAUCUCUAUUGCUCGCGAACUCCAUGAUUAUACCGAAGCCCAGCCUCCGCUUCUCCUCUGUUCGAACCGAGCCAGGACCGAAGUCUCGUCACUUCUAUUGCGUGGAAGCUGAUGACUCCCUUUUUCCCUUGGCAAUGGAUCCAAAGAAAAAAGAAAAUCCUUUAUAAGGAAUUUCUUCUCAUUUCGAUAUCCUAUUGGAUGAUGCAACACAAGAAGCUUGAAGGUAAAGAAGAUGAAGAUAAACAAAAUACCUCAUUUUUAAGACUUUUAUCAUUUCAUAGGGAUAGAAUCCGGGUUGUUGUCGGUGGAGCUCGGCCACCUCUACUUUUCAGUACUUCUUGGGCUAUAUAAUAAGUGGCACUUGCCACGGACUUUUGGAUACUCUGAUUAAUAUUAUUGAUGUGAUGAUGUGUUUACU
Molecule: long non-coding RNA, 592 nt
Organism: Dendrobium catenatum
Lineage: Eukaryota; Viridiplantae; Streptophyta; Magnoliopsida; Asparagales; Orchidaceae
Exons: 2
Source: RefSeq, a predicted model, not a curated record